CAGUCGCCGCGGGAAUACGAAGGGUGCAAGCGUUAAUCGGAAUUACUGGGCGUAAAGCGUGCGUAGGCGGUGAGUUAAGUCUGCUGUGAAAUCCCCGGGCUCAACCUAGGAAUGGCAGUGGAUACUGGCUCGCUAGAGUGUGUCAGAGGAUAGUGGAAUUUCCGGUGUAGCAGUGAAAUGCGUAGAGAUCGGAAGGAACAUCUGUGGCGAAGGCGACUAUCUGGGCCAACACUGACACUGAGGCACGAAAGCGUGGGGAGCAAACAGGAUUAGAUACCCGCGUAGUCCCUGUCUCUUAUAC
This 301-nucleotide ribosomal RNA is filed under the name uncultured bacterium. RNAcentral's name for it is "partial 16S ribosomal RNA". It matches the Rfam family "Bacterial small subunit ribosomal RNA", at positions 509 to 807 of the family's 1533-position model. The record is from RNAcentral.